CGGUGUGAGGGUGAAACGAGCCGUCCCCAUACCCCGUCCGGUAUGGGCGCCAAAACACAUAAGAUCUCCAUACCCCAUCCGGUAUGAGAGACCACAAUUCCGGUAGGGUUCCCUACGGAUCCGGUCCGUCCACCAUCUCCCAGGAUAUCUAGUCAGGCUGACCACAUUAUACAAUUAUCAAUUUACAUAACAUUUCAUUUCCCUUUUUCCUCAGUCAGCAUCAUCAAAUCACACACAAACAAGCAAACCAGUAAUUUAUGCCAAACAAGACAACAUACAACAUCGGGUUCUCAGUCAUUCAACCCAUAAUCAAUAAAACAGUGAUAUAUGCACACGAAACUAUAAAAUGAAAACAUCAGAUCUCAUACUGCAUUUAAAAACUGUAAAAUAGGCCAAACAACAGCUGACCGACAAACACACCAGACUCGGGCUCCAUUAGCGACCUUAAACAAUUUCACACAUAUAUUGAUUCAUGAAAUACCAUUUUAUCAUUUAUUGAACUUUAAUACCGUGAUAGGAAAUAGGGUGAGGAAUCCUUACUUGUUUUCGGGGUCUGAUUACGGCUCUACAGUGCCCCUACAAGCUGU
RNAcentral lists this long non-coding RNA (587 nucleotides) under Carica papaya (papaya). RNAcentral describes it as "long non-coding RNA (CPAP_LNC010032)". The record is from RNAcentral. Lineage: Eukaryota; Viridiplantae; Streptophyta; Magnoliopsida; Brassicales; Caricaceae.